AUUGAACGCUGGCGGCAUGCUUUACACAUGCAAGUCGGACGGCAGCAUAAAAGAGCUUGCUCUUUUGAUGGCGAGUGGCGAACGGGUGAGUAAUGCAUCGGAACGUACCGAGUAGUGGGGGAUAACUGUCCGAAAGGAUGGCUAAUACCGCAUAUUCUCUGAGGAGGAAAGCAGGGGACCUUAGGGCCUUGCGCUAUUUGAGCGGCCGAUGUCUGAUUAGCUAGUUGGUGGGGUAAGAGCCCACCAAGGCGACGAUCAGUAGCGGGUCUGAGAGGAUGAUCCGCCACACUGGGACUGAGACACGGCCCAGACUCCUACGGGAGGCAGCAGUGGGGAAUUUUGGACAAUGGGCGCAAGCCUGAUCCAGCCAUGCCGCGUGUAUGAAGAAGGCCUUCGGGUUGUAAAGUACUUUUGUCAGGGAAGAAAAGCCUGAGGAUAACACCCUCAGGUCAUGACGGUACCUGAAGAAUAAGCACCGGCUAACUACGUGCCAGCAGCCGCGGUAAUACGUAGGGUGCGAGCGUUAAUCGGAAUUACUGGGCGUAAAGCGAGCGCAGACGGUUAUUUAAGCAAGAUGUGAAAGCCCCGGGCUCAACCUAGGAACUGCGUUUUGAACUGGGUAACUAGAGUGUGUCAGAGGGGGGUAGAAUUCCACGUGUAGCAGUGAAAUGCGUAGAGAUGUGGAGGAAUACCGAUGGCGAAGGCAGCCCCCUGGGAUAACACUGACGUUCAUGCUCGAAAGCGUGGGUAGCAAACAGG
This 759-nucleotide ribosomal RNA is filed under the name uncultured Neisseriaceae bacterium. RNAcentral describes it as "bacterial SSU rRNA". It matches the Rfam family "Bacterial small subunit ribosomal RNA", at positions 28 to 776 of the family's 1533-position model. The record is from RNAcentral. Lineage: Bacteria; Pseudomonadati; Pseudomonadota; Betaproteobacteria; Neisseriales; Neisseriaceae.